AAUACUGGACAAUGGGGGCAACCCUGAUCCAGCCAUGCCGCGUUUGUGAAGAAUGUCUUCGGAUUGUAAAGCACUUUAUGUUGGGAGGAAGGGCUUUAGGUUAAUACCCUGAAGUUUUGACGUUACCAACAGAAUAAGCUCUCGCUAACUCUGUGACAGCAGCCGCGGUAAUACAGAGGGUGCAAGCGAUAAUCGGAAUUAAUGUGCGUAAAGCGCGCGUAGGUAGUUCAGUAAGAUGGGUGUGAAAUCCACGGGCUUAACCUGGGAACUGCUUUCAUAACUGCUGAGCUAGAGUACGGUAGAGGGUAGUGGAAUUUCCUGUGUAGCGGUGAAAUGCGUAGAUAUAGGAAGGAACACCAGUGGCGAAGGCGACUACCUGGACUGAUACUGACACUGAGGUGCGAAAGCGUGGGGAGCAAAC
Molecule: ribosomal RNA, 421 nt
Filed under: uncultured bacterium
Lineage: Bacteria
Description: partial 16S ribosomal RNA
Rfam family: Bacterial small subunit ribosomal RNA
Source: RNAcentral